GACCGCGUAGCUCAGUUGGCAGAGCAUUGGGCUAGUAUUCCGAAGGUCGUAGGUUCGAUUCCCACCGUGGCCA
Molecule: transfer RNA, 73 nt
Filed under: Paramuricea clavata
Lineage: Eukaryota; Metazoa; Cnidaria; Anthozoa; Malacalcyonacea; Plexauridae
Rfam family: tRNA
About the family: Transfer RNA (tRNA) molecules are approximately 80 nucleotides in length. Their secondary structure includes four short double-helical elements and three loops (D, anti-codon, and T loops). Further hydrogen bonds mediate the characteristic L-shaped molecular structure. tRNAs have two regions of fundamental functional importance: the anti-codon, which is responsible for specific mRNA codon recognition, and the 3' end, to which the tRNAs corresponding amino acid is attached (by aminoacyl-tRNA synthetases). tRNAs cope with the degeneracy of the genetic code in two manners: having more than one tRNA (with a specific anti-codon) for a particular amino acid; and 'wobble' base-pairing, i.e. permitting non-standard base-pairing at the 3rd anti-codon position.
Source: Rfam by way of RNAcentral